UGGGGAAUUUUGGACAAUGGGGGCAACCCUGAUCCAGCAAUGCCGCGUGUGUGAAGAAGGCCUUCGGGUUGUAAAGCACUUUUGUCCGGAAAGAAAACGUCGUGGUUAAUACCCGUGGCGGCUGACGGUACCGGAAGAAUAAGCACCGGCUAACUACGUGCCAGCAGCCGCGGUAAUACGUAGGGUGCAAGCGUUAAUCGGAAUUACUGGGCGUAAAGCGUGCGCAGGCGGUCCGCUAAGACAGAUGUGAAAGUCCCCGGGCUUAACCUGGGAACUGCAUUUGUGACUGGCGGCUAGAGUAUGGCGGAGGGGGGUAGAAUUCCACGUGUAGCAGUGAAAUGCGUAGAGAUGUGGAGGAAUACCGAUGGCGAAGGCAGCCCCCUGGGCCAAUACUGACGCUC
Molecule: ribosomal RNA, 401 nt
Filed under: uncultured bacterium
Lineage: Bacteria
Description: partial 16S ribosomal RNA
Rfam family: Bacterial small subunit ribosomal RNA
Source: RNAcentral